This is a long non-coding RNA of Glycine soja, 703 nucleotides long. RefSeq lists it as uncharacterized. The transcript has 3 exons. Lineage: Eukaryota; Viridiplantae; Streptophyta; Magnoliopsida; Fabales; Fabaceae. The record is from RefSeq and is a predicted model, not a curated record.
AAUUUUCUUUGGAUUGAUGAUUUAUUUCAGUAUUGGAAGCUUAGGGUCCGGAAAAUCCGAGGAAUUUGUUUUAGGAAUACGAGUGAAUAGAGCCAAGAUUUUUGGAACUAAAAAUGGAGUUAGAAUCAAGACAUGACAGCCCUCGAAGAAAUCCGCAAUCCAAAUCAAGAACGUGUUGUACCAGAACAUAACGGGCAAGAUGGGCUCAUAAAGCUCUUUGGCAUGCUUCCUUGUGGCACAUGCAUGAGGUAUGCUUCCAAUUCUUCAAUUUUUCAUUUUUUAUGCCAUUGUUGAUUUUUUUUAGCAAUAUCUUUCUUAUUUAUUUCAAACAUGCUAUUAUAGUAAUCUAUAGUAUUUAUUUUACACUCUCGAGGCCCACUAGCUUGAGCCUAGCCAUUAGAACCGAUGUAGAAAACUCGCAUUCUACAUCGGUUAUAACUACACAAUCGAUGUAGAACAGUCGCCCUUCAAAGACGGUCCUUCAACCAAUGUUGUUAUUCAACGAUAUUAUGUUAUCACUACGCGUCAUAACCGAUGUAGAAAGGUCAUUAGAACCGAUGUAAAAGAUCUUUUUUUUAGUAGUGAUGAGAUAUUAUACAUUUAUCUUUUCACUAGUACAUAACAUGUACUAUAAAAUAACUAAGGAUAUCUGGGUAAAAAAAUUAAUGCAAAAGACAACUUAAAAAGACUUUUAUAAAAAAAG